This is a long non-coding RNA of Triticum aestivum (bread wheat), 3704 nucleotides long. RefSeq lists it as uncharacterized. Lineage: Eukaryota; Viridiplantae; Streptophyta; Magnoliopsida; Poales; Poaceae. The transcript is spliced from 3 exons. The record is from RefSeq and is a predicted model, not a curated record.
CCCCGUCUCCUCUCCGCGUGGGCUCGGACGCAGCGCCUGAAACCCAUGCAUGGUAGUCUACGCGCCGUCGCUAUGCUCCCCACGCGUCGCCUGCCCUGACGGCCCGAGGAUCCUCACGCCGUCUUGGCUGGACUGUGCAAAGAGAUGACGUUGAACCUUUGGUUGCACGGCGCGGCGGCUCGCCAUGGGACUCGACAGUACGGUGGCCAGUCCCGUGACACCAUGCCUCUCCCACCUCUUUCGGUGGCUUUCUCUGCUGCCCCUGGAGCUCAACGUGGAGGGACUCGCCAUGCAUCGCGCAUCGUUCUGGACGCGGCUGCCCACUACCCUGCAAGUCGACUGUUCCAACGCCCACAAGUGUUCGACGUUAUGUUUGGACAGCUGUAGGUAAAAGAAAAUCAGUUCUAUCCAUAAACCGUGUCAAAGGUUAUAUGCGUGUUCCAUCCCCAGCACAAUUAUUUUUCUUUACAUGCACCUUUUGUGAUAUGUCUGCUUAUGCAAUGAGGCUCGGCCUGCUACUGAUGAUUGCAGUUUGGAAAUAUGUUGAAAGAUAACUUUACUGUCAAGAAGCCCUCCAUAGGAAAUAGGAUGCAGUGUAAAAUGGACUGUGCCUUAACCCUUGUUUGGUAUAAACUUCAUGGAUGAGGCAAUUGAGCUCUACACAACAAGCAUAUUUAAUGCAUCAAGGUUGUUAGGCACAAUUGUUCAUGUAGAACCAUCUGCUAAACUUACUAUGACUUCUUUUCCAGGAUUCUCCAUGGAAUCUUCGAACAGAUCAAUGGAUAAAGCAAAAGAAAAUCCAUACGGGGCUCUGUCAGGCCUGCUGCUUCAGGUCGUCCUCCCCAAGAGUGUGAGAAGAAGCAGCUGCUGCAGAAUGCAUCGCACGCUAUAUACUCAUGGGUCUUCAGGACAGAAAUGGGAGGCUCUUCUACAAGCUCAUGAUCGACAUCGGGGAGCUGCAUAUCCUUAUUUAUAGAGAUAAUUAGAAGUUUGAGAGAAAUUUAGUGUGCUCUGCAUCUAAUUUCAGAGAAAGUACAUCUACUGUAGUAGCAUGCAAGUGGGUUCAUGCCAUUAUACAUAGCACGUUCCAGCUGUUGUAUAUCCUUGCUUUGAGAGACAAUUAGUAGUUUCUGAGAAUAUAUUUCAUAGCACGAGCACAUAGCUAUGAGAGAUUAUUAGAGCAGUAGUUCUACCUACUACCACAUGUAUUUUUUCGUUGAUUGUACAAGUUCACAUGUACAUCUCUGAAUAAAGAAGAACCUUAUUACUGAAGUUAUAGAACAGAGGUGGUGUUGCUCUAUAUGUACAGGCUAUUAUUUGCAUGCUUUGCUGAGUAAGUGCAGUUUAGAAUGAGUUGAAAUCUAAGAGCAGACAGUUGCAUGUUCGACUUCCGUUGUGCAGUACCAUUUCUUACUUCCAAUUAGAAUAGUUGUCGUUCAGUAUUUGCCUAGCUCUAAUACCAUUCUUCACAAAAUACAUACACCUUUUUUAGUGUCUGAAUUUUAUUAUCUGUUGGUGAUCAGUUUUUCCUACUCCAGUUGUUGGAUGUGCUAUCCUCCCUUCUCACUCUCGGGCUCUAGCAGCAAAUGGACGCGCAAGCAUCACAAAGCAGCUCAGCUCCAUCGCCUUCAGUGGUGGCAAGGUCUGUAUGCUCAGCCCAACUCCGAUGCUCUCUGUGCAUUUUAUUUAUACACCAAAAUAUAUUGAAUGGAGGACAAGUUCUACUUUUUGUUAAUGGAGCUAGCUUGAUUGAUUUUUUCAGCAUUAGCUUGAUCAAUCUAAUCCCGGCGGAUGCGCUACUUUUUGUUCAUGCCCACGUGUAUUUGUGUCUGCAAAGGAGCGAGCAUACUAGAGGGAUGGUUGGAAGGGGAGUAAUCUGCUACAAUGUUUUACAUCUUCUAUAGUUAUUUUUUGAAUCUGUGAUAUAAUAUAGGGAAAAGUAUAUUUUUCGUCCCUCAACUCUUUUGAAAGUGGAGAAAUGAUCCCUUAACUUCAAAACCAGCAAAACUUCGUCCCUCUACUUUUAAAACCAGAUAAGUUUAGUCCCUCAUGCUAUUUUAGAUGGUUUUCUUUCGACUUGGUGUGGUAUUAUGAUAUACACUACAGAAAAAAAUUUGUUAGAGCCAGGGAAGGUUGCGCGCUGCCGGCCCCCAUCGCGCUCCCGGUCGCCACUUACGCCGCCUCCUCAUGAGCGCACAAGCAGAGCAGCAGCAGUGUGCGUCCUUCCGUGCCGGCUGCGACAUAUGCCUGUCUGACUGUGCCGAUGGCGAGAUCGUCCGUGUGCUAGCCUGCUCAACGGCGGCAACGCGACUUUUCGGCGAGAGUGAGCUUGCAGCGCUGGCUUGAUGUGGUCCGCUCGUAGUUGAUACUAUUACAUGUCGAUGCAUGUACGUAGCAAAAGCAAAGUAGACAACUAGCUUACGUAUGCACGUUAAUUGAUCUAAGCUGGUUCCUCUCGGGACAAAAGCACCAGCCAGUGUUAGCUCUCAACUCACACUGAUGCAUGUCAAGCAAACAACUUGACGCGCGGCUGGACACUUGCAGCGACAUGCAUGCAGCUGCCGGACUCGACGCGCACGGUCUCCACACAAAAUAGUGAGCUCGUGCCCUGCUAACUGAAUGGGAAGAAAACAAGAAAAAAUCAACCGACUAACUAAUGAUUCAACAGCCAGAAGCGCUUCAGGAAGAGCUUGCUUUAUACACGAGCGAGCUAGUACGAGGCUAGCUUUGUACAGGAGAAUGACCGUCAGUUGGGCGCUACCUCGGCCGGGAGGGAUGGCGUCAUGGCGGACAGCUACCGCGCAGAAUCAAAACCACUGCACGUUGGGUAGAAAACCACCCGAAGCUAUGAGGGACUAAAUUUAUCCGGUUUUAAAAGUUGAGGGACUAAACUUAUCUGGUUUUGAAUGUUGAGGGACUAAGAUUUGCUGAUUUUGCAGUCGAAGGACCAUUUGUAUACUAUCAAAAAAGUUGAGGGAUGAAAAAUAUACUUAUCCCUAUAAUAUAUAAUGCAUUCUAUAGAAACCAAAAUGAUGUUCAUUGGAGCUUCUCUCUUGGUAUGAUUCUUUCAUUCGUUUCUUCUUUGAGGAAACUCCAUACUUGAAAAAUGUCUCUUCAUGGCUUCUUCAAAGUUUUUUCUAUAGUUUUCAGUCUUGGGUGCAUGCAGUUUCUUCAUGUCACGUUUGAAAUUUGGAGCCAUGUAUGUAAGUACAUUCUAAUUGGCAGAGCCUUCCCGGUUUAUGAUACUAAAUGAGGUACUUCUAUAUAUAGGUUUGCACCGUGUCAUUUUUUCCUGUGAUUAAUUGAUCUUCAUAGCAAGAAAAUCCUGUUUGAGGAAUAUUGUGCAUACUCUUGACUUUCAGUGCUUUUUAUGAGAACAGGGUUGUCAAGUAAUUAUUUUUGAAAGAAUUCACAAUGCAAACAAUGAUUUUAGCAAAAAUAUGCAACAGUUUUUCCGAUGUGCUGCCACUUCAGAUGUACCCCCAGCAUCCACACAACGAAGAUCCUAUUAUUGUGUACACAGGAGCAAAACCACCUGACGUGUCCAAGAAUUUGCAAAUGCUUUAUAUCACUUUAUUACAUUAAUCUUGCAGGAGGCUAUACCAGGGUGAUCUAAUUCAGUAAAAAAUAUUUGCGACAUCUUCUUGUAGUAGUACAGUUGUAUGACCAUACACAGCCCUAUGUAGAGUGCACGACACAUGGUU